CAGUCGCCGCGGUAAUACGAAGGGUGCAAGCGUUAAUCGGAAUUACUGGGCGUAAAGCGUGCGUAGGCGGUUUGUUAAGUCUGUUGUGAAAUCCCCGGGCUCAACCUGGGAAUGGCAAUGGAUACUGGCAAGCUAGAGUGUGUCAGAGGAUGGUGGAAUUCCCGGUGUAGCGGUGAAAUGCGUAGAGAUCGGGAGGAACAUCAGUGGCGAAGGCGGCCAUCUGGGACAACACUGACGCUGAGGCACGAAAGCGUGGGGAGCAAACAGAAUUAGAUACCCGAGUAGUCCCUGUCUCUUAUCA
Molecule: ribosomal RNA, 301 nt
Filed under: uncultured bacterium
Lineage: Bacteria
Description: partial 16S ribosomal RNA
Rfam family: Bacterial small subunit ribosomal RNA
Source: RNAcentral